Molecule: long non-coding RNA, 2598 nt
Filed under: Sarcophilus harrisii (Tasmanian devil)
Lineage: Eukaryota; Metazoa; Chordata; Mammalia; Dasyuromorphia; Dasyuridae
Description: lncRNA (ENSSHAG00000022956.1)
Source: RNAcentral
CUGGGACAAAGGGCCCACUGGGCGGGACUGGGUCCUGGGGGGGAGACACAGGGCCAGCCUUUGUGAAGUGGGAGGGGUGUCCUCCGGCCUCCUUCCCUGCUCAGGGGCCAGUGCACAAGAGGAGGGGGCAUGCGGCUCUUAAUGGAGGUGCUGGACGAUGGCACACCUGGCCCGGUGGCCCCUCAGAGACAGGCUCCGACCUCCACUGUCCCCACAAAAUAAAUGAGGGGCUCUCAGUGCUUGUCUGCUGGCUUCUGGGGCCCACGGAAGGGACAUCCUCUGGCCGCCUCCUCCCAGGGCCCAGAGAGGAUAAUGUUCCCACUCCCUGGCAUCUGGGUCCUUCGGUCUCUGGCUUCCACACAGCAGCCCUUACUCUCUCCCCGGCUCAGGGAAAGGGCCUUUGGCCAGCGAGCCCCUGAGUCUCUGGCAUUCCCAGCUCUCUCUGCCGGCCUCUGGGACCCUGUGCGUGAGAAUGCCCUCUUUCUGGUGUUCCUGGGGACUCCCCUGGGGGCCCUGGGCCUUCCUUACUUGGGGCUUGGGGGGGUGGUGGAACAGAAGGCCUUUGAGGGUGGGGGUCUCUUCCCUUUCUGUCUCCGUGGGCCCCCGCACCCUCACUGGGCCUUGCAGUGUCCGGGCUUGCUAACUUGAGGUGGGUAGAGUUGGCUGUGAGGGUCCUCGGCGGAGGGGGUCCCAGGGAGGGAGGGAGUGAGGGAGGCCCUUCUGUCGGGCUCAGGCUGACCAGGAAGGACGCCCUCUGUCCCGGCACUUACCUGAAGAACCAGGUCGGCGGCGGCUUCCCAAGACCGGUCCCCCAAGGUCCGGCCCCAGAGGGGCCGGCUCAGAGAGCCCCGGCUGGAGGGUCCCAGGGCGAGGGGAGUGGGAUCCCAGCGGGGUCUCAGGGCAGCUCUGAGAAGGGACGCACUGGGUCCCGGGGCCCAGCAGUACAGAAAGGGCUCCAUGGAGACUAAGCUCUUUCCUCACAACCACCUGGGGAGGGAGCAGGAGGGACAAAGGGGACGUCCUAGGAAACAAGCCAAGGAGCGGGCCCUGAGGGUUCGGGAUUGCCCUGAGGUCACACAGCCGGUGGCAAAGGGAGGAGGUUCCUUGGGCCUCAGGCCCACUGCUCUUUGUGGAUUCAGGGCCAUCAGAACUGGGGCUGGCCCAGCCACCCUUCUCUCCAGCCCAGGCAGGGCUCCCAGAAACCCCCCCCUUCCGAGGGGUGCCGAGGUUCCUGCACGCCCCCCUCUCCUCGGCGGUCACCUUCAGGGCCUCCCCUCCCCCGCCCGCCCGGCCCGGGGCCCGGCACACAGUAGGUGCUCAAAGCCUGCUCUGGCUUGGGGGACUGCAGACGGCUGGGCCAGCCUGUGAGUGCCGGCGAUCGCCCGCCACCACCACCUAGUGGCCAAAGCCGGAGGGCGCUGCCAGGGAAGCCUGAGCAGUCCCGGCGCUCGGGGAGCAAAGCUUCCCUGGGGCCGCCAGCGGGGCGCGACAAGCGUUUCGGGAGACUGCGGGCGGGGCCCUGACCCCCCAAGCCGGCGGCGCAGGGGAACGCAGGGGGACGCAGCCGGACGGCUCCGGGCUCCCCGCCUGGGCAGGGAGAACUCCCAGGGACCCCCGAACGCUGUCUGGCCCCUCUGUGGUCCGGGAGCCGAGGCUGGCUGGGGUCCGGGACCCUCACAACAGACCCGAGGGGGGCAGGGCCCAGAGCCCUCUUGUGGCCCUUCUGCUCGGAGGCUGGGUAGUCUGUCACUGUCACUGCUCCCUAGGCCCAGUCCAGCUCCCUGCCGGCCACAUGGCCAGUCCUUCUCUGAGACGCUGAAGGGGGGAUUCCUAGUCAUGGCCCAUGGGAAAAAACCCCUGCGGCCAUCGUUCCAGGUGUCCCUGAUCUGCCUCUGCCUACCCUCUUCACACUGACCAGCAGGGCUCCCACUGUCCCUCCUCCGGGGACUUUCUGCACCUCUAUGCGGGCUGCUGCCCUAAGCCUGGUCUUCUCUCCUCCUCCUCCUCCUCCUCCUCCUCCUCCUCCUCUUCGUCCUCCUCCUCCUCCUCCUCCCCUGCUCCCACUUGAGCAAAGUGAGGCUUUGCUCAAAUCUCAUUUUCUUCCUCAAGUCUUAGCCUUCAGGCUACUUCAGGUGCCUCUGAAAACCUCAAGUCCUUCAUCUGCCAAAGGAGGAGGGGCCCUUCCCAUGUCCCAGCCAUAACCUGAUGGUCCCAACCCCUGUGGUCUGCCCCUUCCCCAGGACUACCAAAGCACUGGGGGCUCCUUUGCCCUUUUGGGUCCCUAACUUUUAGAAGGACAGCAGUAACAGUCAGCAUCUCUGUAGCCCCUGCGAGACUGCAUGGGUCAUCUCAGUGGAUCAUAAGCUCCCUGAGGGCAAGGACCGUUGUUUCUUAACCAUCACCUUAUAUGUGACAGGGCUUAGCAAAUGUUUUCUGAAUUGAAGCUGCAGCAUUGCUUGAUCCUUUCGCACCUUCCCCUCCCCUGGGCGUUUGUGUGGCCCAUUCCCUGUUCUCUCUGUGGCCCGUUAACCAGAGCAGGCUGGAGGGAGACACAAUGGCUUUGAUGUGGCCGAUGAGUAAGGAAGAGAGACCGAAGGG